Non-coding RNA from Piedraia hortae CBS 480.64, 115 nucleotides. The record is from the annotation of a GenBank genome assembly. Lineage: Eukaryota; Fungi; Ascomycota; Dothideomycetes; Capnodiales; Piedraiaceae.
GCGAGCGUGGUGCAGUUGGUUACCACAUCUGUCUAACAGAGGUGGCUUCGGGUUCACUUGAAGCUCAUUCCUGUCAGCGCACAGAAGACCCCCGGUUCGAGCCCGGGCGCUCGUA